UACGUAGGGUGCGAGCGUUGUCCGGAAUUACUGGGCGUAAAGAGCUCGUAGGUGGUUUGUCGCGUUGUCCGUGAAAACUCACAACUCAAUUGUGGGCGUGCGGGCGAUACGGGCAGACUGGAGUACUGCAGGGGAGACUGGAAUUCCUGGUGUAGCGGUGAAAUGCGCAGAUAUCAGGAGGAACACCCGUGGCGAAAGCGGCUCUCUGGGACGGUACUGACGCUGAGACGCGAAAGCGUGGGGAGCAAACAGG
Molecule: ribosomal RNA, 253 nt
Filed under: uncultured bacterium
Lineage: Bacteria
Description: partial 16S ribosomal RNA
Rfam family: Bacterial small subunit ribosomal RNA
Source: RNAcentral